UGGGGAAUUUUGGACAAUGGGCGAAAGCCUGAUCCAGCAAUGCCGCGUGUGUGAAGAAGGCCUUCGGGUUGUAAAGCACUUUUGUCCGGAAAGAAAUCCUUGGCUCUAAUACAGUCGGGGGAUGACGGUACCGGAAGAAUAAGCACCGGCUAACUACGUGCCAGCAGCCGCGGUAAUACGUAGGGUGCAAGCGUUAAUCGGAAUUACUGGGCGUAAAGCGUGCGCAGGCGGUUUGCUAAGACCGAUGUGAAAUCCCCGGGCUCAACCUGGGAACUGCAUUGGUGACUGGCAGGCUAGAGUAUGGCAGAGGGGGGUAGAAUUCCACGUGUAGCAGUGAAAUGCGUAGAGAUGUGGAGGAAUACCGAUGGCGAAGGCAGCCCCCUGGGCCAAUACUGACGCUCAUGCACGAAAGCGUGGGGAGCAAACAGGAUUAGAUACCCUGGUAGUCCACGCCCUAAACGAUGUCAACUAGUUGUUGGGGAUUCAUUCCUUAGUAACGUAGCUAACGCGUGAAGUUGACCGCCUGGGGAGUACGGUCGCAAGAUUAAAACUCAAAGGAAUUGAC
This 565-nucleotide ribosomal RNA is filed under the name uncultured bacterium. Its description in RNAcentral is "partial 16S ribosomal RNA". It matches the Rfam family "Bacterial small subunit ribosomal RNA", at positions 355 to 914 of the family's 1533-position model. The record is from RNAcentral.